AACGAACGCUGGCGGCAGGCUUAACACAUGCAAGUCGAACGUGAAUAUUUGGUGCUUGCACUGAAUAUGAAAGUAGCGCACGGGUGAGUAACACGUGGGAACGUACCUUAGAGUGGGGGAUAACAGUUGGAAACGACUGCUAAUACGGCAUAUGCCUUGAGGGGUAAAGAUUUAUCGCUUUAAGAACGGCCCGCGGAAGAUUAGGUAGUUGGUGGGGUAAAGGCCUACCAAGCCUACGAUCUAUAGCUGGUCUGAGAGGACGAUCAGCACCAUGGGGACUGAGACGCGGCCCAAGCUCGUGCGGGAGGCAGCAGUGAGGAGUAUUGGGCAAUAGGGGGAACCCUGACCCAGCCAUGCCGUGUGAGUGAAGAAGGUCUUCGGAUUGUAAAACUCUUUCGGACGUGACGAUGAUGACAGUAGCGUCUAAAGAAGCACCGGCAAACUUCGUGCCAGCCGCCGCGGUAA
This 465-nucleotide ribosomal RNA is filed under the name uncultured bacterium. RNAcentral's name for it is "partial 16S ribosomal RNA". It matches the Rfam family "Bacterial small subunit ribosomal RNA", at positions 29 to 523 of the family's 1533-position model. The record is from RNAcentral.